CGCACAUUGCGCCCGUCGGUAUUCCGGCGGGCAUGCCUGUCCGAGCGUUACACAUCCCCACCUCGAGUAGGCUUGCCUCUCGGUCUUGAGUUGCCUCUGGGGGAAAACAGAGGGGCUCCAAAUAUAGUGUCGCGGUUGGUAAUCAUUGCCCCGGAGUGUUGCAAAAUCCUCGCUCGAGAGGCCUUGAUGUCCAACUAGUCGCCCCUACGCAGAGGCCGCAAGGCCGCCAAUUUAGUACGCUGUUUAACCUCGGAUCAGGUAGGAACACCCGCUGAACUUAA
This 281-nucleotide unclassified non-coding RNA is filed under the name Cordycipitaceae sp. RNAcentral's name for it is "partial contains 5.8S ribosomal RNA, internal transcribed spacer 2, and large subunit ribosomal RNA". Lineage: Eukaryota; Fungi; Ascomycota; Sordariomycetes; Hypocreales; Cordycipitaceae. The record is from RNAcentral.